RNAcentral lists this ribosomal RNA (223 nucleotides) under uncultured bacterium. Its description in RNAcentral is "partial 16S ribosomal RNA". It matches the Rfam family "Bacterial small subunit ribosomal RNA", at positions 109 to 334 of the family's 1533-position model. The record is from RNAcentral.
AGUAAUACAUCGGAACGUGUCCCGUAGUGGGGAUAGCCCGGCGAAAGCCGGAUUAAUACCGCAUAUGCUCUACGGAGGAAAGUGGGGGACUCGCAAGGGCCUCACGUUAUGGGAGCGGCCGAUGUCCGAUUAGCUUGUUGGCGGGGUAAUGGCCCACCAAGGCGACGAUCGGUAGCUGGUCUGAGAGGAUGAUCAGCCACACUGGGACUGAGACACGGCCCAG